UCAUUUUAGAAUGUUGGCAAAAAUCCAGCUCAUCAAGAUUACACCCUGUCAGUUUCUAUCACCAGCAUUGCUCAAUUCUUGCAGCUAUCUGAAACUUGGAUGAUGAAAGACUUUUCUUCAUAUCUAAGAAAGCUUGUGUGCUUAGUUUCUCCAACACAACGUCAAGUCACACCCAUAAAUGGGGCAGACUGUGAGGGAAAAAAUAAACAUCAUCUGAGGGAGGGUUAGAAUGGUGUUCAAGCGUUCAAGACAGACAAAAUUGGUCUUUUUCCACUGUAUAUAAUGCAAUAAAAUUGCUGAACAAUUUUUUUUUUCUCCAAAGUCCAAGAAGGUGUGCAAGGAAGACUGAAGCACAAACAUCUCCACACAGAGUGAACGAGAUAAAAUACCUGUGAUGUGGCCAAAAAGAAGCCUGGAGCCUAACAGAGUGCCAUCAUUGCUCUGAGCAGCUUUACACUGCUGACAACAAGAAUCUGGGUUGCCACAACAAAUGGAUGCUGACAACACAACUCAGAUGAGAGAAGACAGAAACUGUUCAGCUCUUGACACACGCCUGAAAGGUAGGCAAGGUACGUGAAGGAGUGGAAGAUCAUUUAUCAGUUCCACCUACGGUAUUUGGGAUCUGGCUAUAAGGUCAUCGCAUGGUUUUAAUUAGGGAUGUUCGAUACCACUUUUUUUUCAGACCGAAACCAGACAUGAUGAUUCGCCGAUGUGUCAAACUGCCGCAUUGUAGCGCCAACUACUGGUGAGGGCGACUUACUCGAUGUCAGAUUUUUUUGGCCUUAAGUAUCAGUGACUGAUAUGAGCAGCAUUCACAAGUACCCAAUACCUUGAAAUAAGGCCGGUAUCGGCCUGAUACUUAGUAAAGGUACUCGCCCAUCCUUUAGUUUUGAUUGAGCAAUCCGUCAACUAAAAAAGAAUGAGUCCUGUAUUGAGUUCCGUCUUUACACUUUCAUGAAAUCUGACCUUUUGGGAUCAACCUCAAUGAAAGUAAAAAGAGGAAGCCAAAGCUUGUGGACAUUGAGCAGCUUUGUGUGCGUGUGUGUGCGUUAAAAGCAGCAUUGACUUUUGCAGUUAUAUAAUAACUCAAUGAUAACUGGUCGUCCCUCCUAACAUUACAGUCAUCACUAGCUAUUCACGGGGAACAGGCACUGAGACCUACAGCAACUAUACAAACAAUUUGAGUAAUUUUUAAUUUUUAUAACUGCCUAUAUUAAUAGUUUAAACCACAAAUAUACCACAGACUAUGAUCCCGAAACACUUUAAUACAAUUUCAAACUCUUCUUACAGCAUUGCCCUUAAAAACAAAUGGUUUAUAAAUUGUUUGAUUUUGACAAAAAAUUAAACGGUAGUGCGCUUGUACAUGCACAUGCGGCGAAGACUAUUCCCAACGUCCACUAAGCCAGGCAACUAUGAGCUCAUCCCUGACAUACAAAGCUUGUCAAGCAGUCAAGAUGUAUCACGUCAACAUACUUGCUUGAGACCAAUUAAUGUACUACUUUCCUAUAUAGACAGGGCUUUCGCAGCAUCUCGGCAUCUUAUGGCGUUUCAGAAAGAGCAUAAAAACCAUGAAUAGGUGAGUUUUUCAGCUAAUAAUUAUUUUAAAUAUUUUGAAACUUUUAUUUUUAUUAUUCAUCUAUUUUACAGCCUACUAAUACUAAUCCCGCUCUUUAGGGUCAGUGUGGAGGAUGUUUGUUUUGGCUAGCAAUUGAAAAGGAAGAUCAUUGAGAGGUCAUUGAGAAAUGGCCAUCGUAUUUGUUUGGUUUGCAUCAUCCAGGAUUUCUAUCUGGUUAUUUUUUUCUUCCAGAUUGUCCAGUCUGAAUCUUUCAAUGCAUAACAAUGGCGAGUGGGUGUUUAUUAGUUGAACAUUUCAUUUCAGUUCAUUAGAACGGUAAGAGAAACCAGAUGCACAUUCCUGCUAGGAUUAAUCACCCACCCAUGUCCUGCAAAAGACAGAUUCAUAUGGAUUCUUAUGGAAAGACGGAACGUCCCAGGAAAACACACUCAUCUUUACUCUCCAGUUUUUCCCCUCAAACUAUCAGGCUGUCCAUGUGAUGGAUAUCACCAGGGGGCCUCAUGGCUAUUAUUGGCAAAAGUAAAGUUGAUUUUACAUGAAUAACGUUCAAUUAUUUCAGUUUUUGUUCUUUGCGUAUUUGUUUAAGUUCCAUGUACAGAUGAUAACAUUUUUAAAAUGAUCCCCAGUCACUCAGAUCUGGAAAAACACCUGAAGACAGUCAAAUAUGCAUACAUUGACAGGAGCACUACCACCAUCUUUUUUUCUAAACCAAAAAUAUACCCAGCCAUAUUUGGGUUUAGAAACUGAGUUAUGGAUCUGGUGACUGGGCACAGUA
Phyllopteryx taeniolatus (common seadragon) is the source of this 2351-nucleotide long non-coding RNA. RefSeq lists it as uncharacterized. The transcript has 3 exons. The record is from RefSeq and is a predicted model, not a curated record. NCBI's taxonomy places the organism in Eukaryota, Metazoa, Chordata, Actinopteri, Syngnathiformes, Syngnathidae.